This 253-nucleotide ribosomal RNA is filed under the name uncultured bacterium. RNAcentral describes it as "partial 16S ribosomal RNA". It matches the Rfam family "Bacterial small subunit ribosomal RNA", at positions 524 to 776 of the family's 1533-position model. The record is from RNAcentral.
UACAGAGGGUGCGAGCGUUAAUCGGAAUUACUGGGCGUAAAGCGUGCGUAGACGGCUAUCUAAGUCGGGUGUGAAAGCCCCGGGCUCAACCUGGGAAUUGCAUUCGAGACUGAAUAGCUAGGGUACGGUAGAGGGAAGCGGAAUUUCCGGUGUAGCGGUGAAAUGCGCAGAUAUCGGGAGGAACACCAAUUGCGAAGGCAGCUUGCUGGGACGAUACUGACGCUGAGGCGCGAAAGCGUGGGGAGCGAACAGG